This 253-nucleotide ribosomal RNA is filed under the name uncultured bacterium. Its description in RNAcentral is "partial 16S ribosomal RNA". It matches the Rfam family "Bacterial small subunit ribosomal RNA", at positions 524 to 776 of the family's 1533-position model. The record is from RNAcentral.
UACAGAGGUCUCAAGCGUUGUUCGGAUUCAUUGGGCGUAAAGGGUGCGUAGGUGGCGCGUUAAGUCCGUUGUGAAAUCCCUGGGCUCAACCCAGGAAAUGCUUCGGAUACUGGCGUGCUUGAGGCUAGUAGGGGUCACUGGAACUGACGGUGGAGCGGUGAAAUGCGUAGAUAUCGUCAGGAACGCCAAUGGUGAAGACAGGUGACUGGGCUAGAUCUGACACUGAGGCACGAAAGCGUGGGGAGCGAACGGG